Molecule: transfer RNA, 76 nt
Filed under: Escherichia coli
Lineage: Bacteria; Pseudomonadati; Pseudomonadota; Gammaproteobacteria; Enterobacterales; Enterobacteriaceae
Description: tRNA-Val
Rfam family: tRNA
About the family: Transfer RNA (tRNA) molecules are approximately 80 nucleotides in length.
Source: RNAcentral
GGGUGAUUAGCUCAGCUGGGAGAGCGCCUCCCUUACAAGGAGGAGGUCGGCGGUUCGAUCCCGUCAUCACCCACCA